GGAGGGGUGGCCGAGUGGUUUAAGGCGGCGGUCUUGAAAACCGCUGUGCUGCAAGGCACCGUGGGUUCGAAUCCUACCCCCUCCGCCA
RNAcentral lists this transfer RNA (88 nucleotides) under Candidatus Rokuibacteriota bacterium. RNAcentral describes it as "Candidatus Rokubacteria bacterium tRNA-Ser". It matches the Rfam family "tRNA". From Rfam's summary of the family: Transfer RNA (tRNA) molecules are approximately 80 nucleotides in length. Their secondary structure includes four short double-helical elements and three loops (D, anti-codon, and T loops). RNAcentral also lists the same sequence under 2 other names. The record is from RNAcentral. Lineage: Bacteria; Candidatus Rokuibacteriota.